AAGUCGUAACAAGGUUUCCGUAGGUGAACCUGCGGAAGGAUCAUUAACGUAUCUCUGACGGCGAGGGGUGCGGCCCUGCUCCGGACCGAAAGGCCGUGCAGCGGGCGGUCCCGAGUCGCUCAACCUUUACAAACCACUGUGCACCUUUGUCGGCGAAGGGGCACUCGUGUCCUGGAGCCGGAUCACAAACUCCUGUAAAAAGAAUGUGCAGCGGACGAUGUGCCGCCUAAACUUUAACAACUUUCAACAACGGAUCUCUUGGCUCUC
This 267-nucleotide unclassified non-coding RNA is filed under the name air metagenome. RNAcentral's name for it is "partial contains small subunit ribosomal RNA, internal transcribed spacer 1, and 5.8S ribosomal RNA". The stretch from base 1 to 46 matches the Rfam family "Eukaryotic small subunit ribosomal RNA", at positions 1786 to 1831 of the family's 1831-position model. The record is from RNAcentral.